Molecule: ribosomal RNA, 495 nt
Filed under: uncultured bacterium
Lineage: Bacteria
Description: partial 16S ribosomal RNA
Rfam family: Bacterial small subunit ribosomal RNA
Source: RNAcentral
GAUGAACGCUGGCGGCGUGCCUAAUACAUGCAAGUCGAGCGAACGGACGAGAAGCUUGCUUCUCUGAUGUUAGCGGCGGACGGGUGAGUAACACGUGGAUAACCUACCUAUAAGACUGGGAUAACUUCGGGAAACCGGAGCUAAUACCGGAUAAUAUUUUGAACCGCAUGGUUCAAAAGUGAAAGACGGUCUUGCUGUCACUUAUAGAUGGAUCCGCGCUGCAUUAGCUAGUUGGUAAGGUAACGGCUUACCAAGGCAACGAUGCAUAGCCGACCUGAGAGGGUGAUCGGCCACACUGGAACUGAGACACGGUCCAGACUCCUACGGGAGGCAGCAGUAGGGAAUCUUUCGCAAUGUGCGAAAGCCUGACAGAGCAACGCCGCGUGAGUGAUGAAGGUCUUCGGAUCGUAAAACUCUGUUAUUAGGGAAGAACAUAUGUGUAAGUAACUGUGCACAUCUUGACGGUACCUAAUCAGAAAGCCACGGCUAACUACG